CGCCUUUUGUCCAUUAUAAAAGGUAACGCCUGCCCAGUGACAUAGUUCAACGGCCGCGGUAUUUUAACCGUGCGAAGGUAGCAUAAUCACUUGUUUUUUAAAUAAAGACUAGUAUGAAUGGCAUCACGAGAACUAAGCUGUCUCCCCCCUCUAAUCAGUGAAACUGAUCUCCCCGUGCAGAAGCGGGGAUAUACCCAUAAGACGAGAAGACCCUGUGGAGCUUAAAAUUAAAAAUCAACUGCGGACGAACCUAAACAUUACCACGCAAAUAUGAUUUAAAUUUUUAGCUGGGGCGCCUGCGGAGUAAAAAUCACCCUCCGCGAAGAAACACACCAAGAACCACCAUUCUAAGUAUUAAUAAAUUUAACUUAAUUGACCCAAUUUUUGAUCAACGGACCAAGUUACCCCAGGGAUAACAGCGCAAUCCACUUUUAGAGUCCCUAUCGACAAGUGGGCUUACGACCUCGAUGUUGGAUCAGGGCAUCCUAGUGGUGCAGCCAUUACUAAAGGUUCGUUUGUUCAACGAUUAAAGCCCU
RNAcentral lists this ribosomal RNA (536 nucleotides) under Leptobrachella applebyi. Its description in RNAcentral is "partial 16S ribosomal RNA". It matches the Rfam family "Bacterial large subunit ribosomal RNA", at positions 1829 to 2597 of the family's 2925-position model. Lineage: Eukaryota; Metazoa; Chordata; Amphibia; Anura; Megophryidae. The record is from RNAcentral.